This 609-nucleotide ribosomal RNA is filed under the name Fusarium solani. RNAcentral's name for it is "eukaryotic LSU rRNA". It matches the Rfam family "Eukaryotic large subunit ribosomal RNA", at positions 1 to 632 of the family's 3401-position model. Lineage: Eukaryota; Fungi; Ascomycota; Sordariomycetes; Hypocreales; Nectriaceae. The record is from RNAcentral.
UUGACCUCGAAUCAGGUAGGAAUACCCGCUGAACUUAAGCAUAUCAAUAAGCGGAGGAAAAGAAACCAACAGGGAUUGCCCCAGUAACGGCGAGUGAAGCGGCAACAGCUCAAAUUUGAAAUCUGGCUCUCGGGCCCGAGUUGUAAUUUGUAGAGGAUGCUUUUGGUGAGGUGCCUUCCGAGUUCCCUGGAACGGGACGCCAUAGAGGGUGAGAGCCCCGUCUGGUUGGACACCGAUCCUCUGUAAAGCUCCUUCGACGAGUCGAGUAGUUUGGGAAUGCUGCUCUAAAUGGGAGGUAUAUGUCUUCUAAAGCUAAAUACCGGCCAGAGACCGAUAGCGCACAAGUAGAGUGAUCGAAAGAUGAAAAGAACUUUGAAAAGAGAGUUAAAAAGUACGUGAAAUUGUUGAAAGGGAAGCGCUUGUGACCAGACUUGGGCUUGGUUGAUCAUCCGGGGUUCUCCCCGGUGCACUCUUCCGGCUCAGGCCAGCAUCAGUUCGCCCUGGGGGAUAAAGGCUUCGGGAAUGUGGCUCUCUCCGGGGAGUGUUAUAGCCCGCUGCGUAAUACCCUGUGGCGGACUGAGGUUCGCGCAUUCGCAAGGAUGCUUGGUG